RNAcentral lists this ribosomal RNA (279 nucleotides) under uncultured bacterium. Its description in RNAcentral is "partial 16S ribosomal RNA". It matches the Rfam family "Bacterial small subunit ribosomal RNA", at positions 506 to 784 of the family's 1533-position model. The record is from RNAcentral.
UGCCAGCCGCCGCGGUAAUACGGAGGGUGCAAGCGUUGUUCGGAUUUACUGGGCGUAAAGGGAGCGCAGGCGGCUAGGUCAGUCUGAAGUGGAAGCCCGGGGCUCAACCCCGGAAGGCCUUUGGAUACUACCUAGCUUGAGUUCGUGAGAGGAGAGUGGAAUUCCAGGUGUAGCGGUGAAAUGCGUAGAUAUCUGGAGGAACAUCGAUGGCGAAAGCAACUCUCUGGCACGAUACUGACGCUGAGGCUCGAAAGCGUGGGGAGCGAACAGGAUUAGAUA